Molecule: transfer RNA, 74 nt
Filed under: Oscillospiraceae bacterium
Lineage: Bacteria; Bacillati; Bacillota; Clostridia; Eubacteriales; Oscillospiraceae
Description: tRNA-Arg
Rfam family: tRNA
About the family: Transfer RNA (tRNA) molecules are approximately 80 nucleotides in length. Their secondary structure includes four short double-helical elements and three loops (D, anti-codon, and T loops).
Source: RNAcentral
GCACCCGUAGCUCAACUGGAUAGAGCGUCUGGCUACGGACCAGAAGGUUGUGGAUUCGAGCUCUGCCGGGUGCG